This is a long non-coding RNA of Papio anubis (olive baboon), 1714 nucleotides long. NCBI's taxonomy places the organism in Eukaryota, Metazoa, Chordata, Mammalia, Primates, Cercopithecidae. The record is from Ensembl.
GCAGCCGCCGAGCGCGUCUCCAGCAGCCGCCGCCUCGGUGCCAGCAGUGGUGGUGGGUUUCGGGCCGGGCGCUCGCGCCCGCCCGCCUUUGGCCGCGCGGCCCCGGGGCGCGAAAUAAAGCCGCUGGUCCCCGCGGCGCGGUAUUCCCCGCCUCGGGGCGGGCGGCGGAGGCUGCGGGGCGGGACGCUGGCGAGAGCGCCUGGGCGGCGUGCCCCGCGGGGACGCGCACGCGGGGCUGCGGGGCGAGACGCGGGGCUGGGCGGCGAAUCCGCUGCUCGCGCCGCCUGCCCCGCCCGCGCGCGCCGUCCCGGGGUAGGGGGCGGUGGAGGGGGGAACCCAGGAGGGGCGGCGCCCGGUCCUCACCCGCAGCGGGCACGGAGGGGGCCGCGGGCGGCCUCGUUGGUAUUCCGGGCGCGGUUGCAGCCCCGAUCUCCCCUCAGAACAGGGGUGCCCGGGCGCGCGGGCACGGCCGCCGCUCUCGGGCGGUCUCCGCGGGCUGCGGGGCCCGCAGGCGCCUUGCUUUCCCCGUCCCCUCCUCCCUGGGUCCCCAGUACUCCCUCCCCCGCUCCGAUCCGGCGGCGAAGGGGUGGGCAGGGAAACGCGCUCUCUGGGACAGGUGCCAACUCCGAGACAAAAGACAUAAAAUAGGCGGCAACGGGGGAAGCGCGGCCGGCGCGCUCGGGCGGGGACGGCGCCGCCGCGGGGGCCGCAUCCUCGGUGCGGACCCGGGAAAGUUUGGGAAGUCGCCGUGGCGGCUUCGCAGCGGCGGGGGACGCGCGGCCCGGGUCGCCCUCCGCGCCGCGCUAGCCCUCUCCGCGCCGCUGCUGAAUAAUUCAUGGCGCGGCCGCCGGCCAUUAGCAUGCACCGGGCGCGCGGCGCGUCUGUGCCAAGCCGCCGCCGCAUUCGGCGCCCGGGCAGCGCGAGACGAGCGGCCGCGCGGCGGCCGGGCCCACGCUGUCCCCGCGCUCGCCUGCCCGGUGGCACCCAUUGUGCCCCGACCCGCCCCGCGGGGCUGUCCCCAAGCACGCCUGCAUCCCGCCGCCCGCCCGACGGCCCGGCUCUGCAAGUCCUGGCCCGCGACGCCCGCCCCGGAAUGCACGUGAACUUGGAGAAAGUCGCGGGGCGCGCCGGCCGGGCUCUCCGCGGCAGGGCGUGGGCGUCCCCGGGACGGCGCGCUUUCGUUUUCGUCUGGGACAAAGGUCCCUUGCGGCGCGCGGACGCCGUGACCGGGUCCUGCGGGCCACUCUCUGGCGCAGUCGGGUCGCUAAGCGCAGGGAAGCCGGAGCCCGAAGGCAAGGACCGACGCGGCGCGGGGCCGGAGAAGUGGGGCCUGGGCCGUGCGCCUGGCCGUCCAGAGCAGUCCCACCCUGCGGAGUUGCGGGAACUGGCCCCGCUCUGUCGUCCGCCGCUUCAACGCGUGAAGAGGGUGAGCAUUUGGAACCCAGGACUCAGACCGCUAGCUGAGGGCCUGUGCCGCUCUGGGCACGCGAGCGCGGCGCCGGCGGCGGCCAGGCGCGGUCCUCCCGCAAGGGCAGGGCUGUCGACCUGUGCGCCCCAGGUCACGAUCGGGUUCACGGCGACUCCCGAGGACGAACGUGGCCCCGUCCCAGAGCGCCACCCGAGACAUCAGGAGCACAUUGCGGGCUUGGAAAGACCCUCCGGGACCUCACGGCCCAGGUCUUCCACCCUUGGCCACCUCCCCAGUGAUGCCUGA